RNAcentral lists this transfer RNA (74 nucleotides) under Bacteriophage sp. RNAcentral describes it as "tRNA-Gly". It matches the Rfam family "tRNA". From Rfam's summary of the family: Transfer RNA (tRNA) molecules are approximately 80 nucleotides in length. Their secondary structure includes four short double-helical elements and three loops (D, anti-codon, and T loops). The record is from RNAcentral.
GCGGGUAUGGUAUAGAGGUUGUGCCUUAGCCUUCCAAGCUAAUGAGGCGAGUUCGAGUCUCGCUACCCGCUCCA